GUCUAGGGCCAUGCUACCGUGAACAAACCCGAUCCAGUCUGAUCUCGGAAGCUAAGUAGGGUUGGGCCUGGUUAGUACUUGAAUGGGAGACCACCUAGGAAGACUAGGUGCUGUAGGUG
RNAcentral lists this ribosomal RNA (119 nucleotides) under Pteropus alecto (black flying fox). The record is from RNAcentral. Lineage: Eukaryota; Metazoa; Chordata; Mammalia; Chiroptera; Pteropodidae.